GAUGAACGCUGGCGGCGUGCCUAAUACAUGCAAGUUGAGCGAACGGACGAGAAGCUUGCUUCUCUGAUGUUAGCGGCGGACGGGUGAGUAACACGUGGAUAACCUACCUAUAAGACUGGGAUAACUUCGGGAAACCGGAGCUAAUACCGGAUAAUAUUUUGAACCGCAUGGUUCAAAAGUGAAAGACGGUCUUGCUGUCACUUAUAGAUGGAUCCGCGCUGCAUUAGCUAGUUGGUAAGGUAACGGCUUACCGAGGCAACGAUGCAUAGCCGACCUGAGAGGGUGAUCGGCCACACUGGAACUGAGACACGGUCCAGACUCCUACGGGAGGCAGCAGUAGGGAAUCUUCCGCAAUGGGCGAAAGCCUGACGGAGCAACGCCGCGUGAGUGAUGAAGGUCUUCGGAUCGUAAAACUCUGUUAUUAGGGAAGAACAUAUGUGUAAGUAACUGUGCACAUCUUGACGGUACCUAAUCAGAAAGCCACGGCUAACUACGUG
This 497-nucleotide ribosomal RNA is filed under the name uncultured bacterium. RNAcentral describes it as "partial 16S ribosomal RNA". It matches the Rfam family "Bacterial small subunit ribosomal RNA", at positions 28 to 507 of the family's 1533-position model. The record is from RNAcentral.